CGCGUACGUGUGCGUGUGUGUGUCGGGGCACAAGAGGGAUGUCAGAAGGUGCCCCUGCUGACCUCGCAGGCAGGAGAUGCCCAAAACACACGUCCCUCCCGUUCUCAGUACUGUUCUCUAAAGGAGUCAGGAGUAUCCUGUCCUGCAGAGGAGGAAACCGAGGCUCCAAGCUGGGUCCCCUGACAAUUCAAACAUCACGUGUCGGUUAUCUCUGGCUGCAUAACAAAUACCCCAAAACUGAGCAGCUGGAAACAACAAGGAUCCGUUAUUCCUGCCGUUUCUGGGGUUGGGGACCUGGGAGCAGCUGAGCAGGGGGUCCUGGAUCAGGGUCGCUCAGGAGACUAUCGUCCAAACUUCAGUUGGGGCUGCAUUUAUCUGAAAGCUUGACCGGGGCUGGAGGACCCACCUGCGAGAUGGCUCCUUCACGUGCCCGUUGACAGGAGGCCUCAGUUGCUGCGUGUGGGCCCUCACAGCGUGGUGGAUGUCUUCCCGCAGAGCGAGGGGCUGCAGAGAGCCAGGCAGAAGCCACGAUGCCUCUUACGACGUGGCCUUGGGAGUCACACUCCGUCAUUUCCACAGCAUCCCACUGGGCACAAGGGGACACGAUGGGUGUGCAGGCCUCAGAAGGCAUCUUUCUCUGACGUAUGCCGCUCGGAAGCGUGAUGGGGACUUGGGGAGAAGGGGACCAGGUGAAUGACAGCACUUCUGGCUGUGGCAGCAAGAACUGGAUGUUGGCAUCAGACGGAUCUGAAAUGUGUUCCCUGGGUGUGACCUCGAGUAAGUUUCCCAUACCCACUCUGACCCUCGGUCUCCUCCUCUGAAAAGGGAUAAUUAACUGUUUCUCCCAUGCAGGAGAAAGAAUACAGCCGCGUGUGUCAAGGGGCCUGGCGCACGGCAGAGCUCAGUUCAGCCUCUGCCACAACCCGGCCCGGGCAGCAGGACAGGCAGGUGACUUGGCCAGACGCAUCGUCCGGGGGGGGGAACACGGGCGUCCUGGUCCCAACGCGGGCAGUGAGCAAGCAAGGGCUCUUUUAUUCCCACACACCACACUAGCCAGACUAGCCGCUCCCUCCGGAGGUGCUUAGGAGACACGGCCAACCGUGCUUGUGGUUGUUGGAACGCUCCGUAAUGAGAAAUAAUCUGGACAAAUAUUUCACGCCUCUUUUUUCACAUUCCAGUGGGAAAACAACGCGGAAUGUGGAGCGCUCCUGCCCAGGACAGCCGACAAAGGCCGCGGCCGCUCCUUUAUCUCCGCUGCAAGUUCUGUUUCCCUUUUAUCAAAAAGGUGUUAUCAGGGCUUCAUAAAUAAGGGAGAAAUGGGCGACUGAAAACGGGCAGGGGACGGGGCUGGUCAGACAAAAGGAGGCCGGCAUGAAUGAAAAACGGCAAAAGACAACAUUUUUCGUUAAUUUGGCGUUCAGCAAUCACGGUAACCUUUCACCCUGAGUGCGAUCGGACACAAUUAGGCGUCGUGGGCUUUUUAGGACAAUUCAUUACAGCAAUAAUGCGUGUUACCCACUGUGGGCAUUUCGUCGUCACGGCGGCUCAGCCGAGCGGGGCUGGUGUCACUCGGCUCGCUCUGAGUCACCAACAAGUGCUUACCUCGUCCAGGGUCAUGCAGCUAAUAAACAGCAGACCCAACAAGCUCCCCACCCCCCAUGCCCUUUGACCUCCCCCAAGAAAGGAAGGACAGGUUGGGUUGGGGGUUGGGGGGACAGCCGUAAAGCCAGUGACCAGAGGGUUCCCUUUUAACUGACUUGGUUUCUGGUGAAGGUGGCUACCAGGGUGGACAAAUGGGUGGGCAGGUCCAGAAGGAGGUGGGGGCUGCAAGAAAUGAGUGGGCAGGGCUGUCCCACACUCAGGGCACCAGGAUCGGGCCCCUGACCAUGGGCCUGACUCCCCGUUCCUGCAGCCCGGAGCCGGGAGGCUGUGGGAGGCUGGCCGAGCAAGGACGUGGUCAGAGACCUGCCCACAGGGGAGGAGUCAUUCCUGAGCACCUGUUAUGCAGUCUCGACACACUCCGUUCCUGUCCUUGAGAAUCUGGACUCUGAGAGGUGGGAGGGGCCAUUGGGGUUACACUGGUUUCACGGCUGGAGGCCCAGAGAGGGCGUUAGCCUCACCUGAGGCCACACAGCCAGGACCCUCAGCAGGGCUUCACCCUCCCUCCAGGCCUCCGGGCUCCGACCGUCAUCUGGGCCCCAGCAGCUGGCACCUGCCCCAGACUCCAGCCAGAGCUGUGCCCCGCCGACCUGGCCUAACUUCGUCCUGACCGUGGGCUCUGAGGAGGCCAGCCCCAGAGCUGGUGUGACGGUGCCCCUGGCCUACUGCCCCGUUUGGGAGGACCAGCCAUGGUGGGGUCCCUGAGAGGCAGCUGUGUGGCUAUUUCCAGGGGUCCUCUGAGACCUGAAGGCCCAAUGACCCCCAAACCCCAGGGAGCCCCGGGAGCCUCUGUCCCUGGGGUAGGCAGUGAUGACUAAUGACCCAGCAGUGGUCCCAACUGUUCAGCCAGCUCUCCCCACGCACCUGUGUGUGUCGGGCACUGUUCUGGGUGCUGAGGGCAAGGGGGCUCUUGUCUGCACCCCUGGGAGCCCCGAGUCUGCCUUCACCCCGUGUCCGGCUGUGCUGGCUUGCCACAACCUUCUAGCAUAUUCCUCAGAGGUCAGCUCAGGGACCCACCUGCCCACUUUGCAGAUGGAACCGUGGGUCCCUGCUCACGGUGGACUCCUGCUGUGAUAUGGGGCAGCAGGCAACCCUCAGGGCCAUCGACCUGAUUACGUCCCCAACCCAGCCCCAGGCAGCGUGCCUGGCACACAGUAGGGAUCCUUCAAAGUUUUGCCGAUUGAACACAUGACAAGACUAAAGAGUACAGACUUCAGAACUCGACGAGCCUGAGUCCAAAUCCCGACUCUUCUCUGUAUUGGCUGUGUAACCCUAGGGAAGUCACUUAACCUCUCUGGGUCUCAGGUUCAGUGAAACGAAAGUUGUAAUAUUAACUUAGUAGGACUGUCACAAGGAUUUGUUGAGACGGUGCUUGCAAACCACGUGGCUGGAGCAGGUGCUCAGCAGAGGCGCACCGGCAGCUCCUGCCCCAGGCAGUGUGGCUCCGAAAGAGCUCACCUGCGGCGGCCGAGGCCCCGCCCUCCUCCUCAGCCCUGCGGCCAGGUGACUGCGGAGGCUCCAGACGCGGCCGGGACCGUGGGAACUUCCUGCCGCCCUGUUUGUCUUGGGCCACCGGGAGGGGCCGACCCCGCUGUCAGCUCCAGCAGGCUCCUGCCAGGUCGCGGGCGUGAAAGGGAGGAAUUGUUCCCGGGACCUUUGCUUUGCUUGUCAAGGGGAUUUCGGCCAGCACCGCCCCUCUUCCCUGAAGGCCCGGCUAGCCUCAGUUCCCCUCUCCCAAAGGGGCUGCACACCAGGGGGAGGCAGGGGCGCUGGGCGAACCUCCAGUUUCGUCUGUCCCUGCCAGCAGGUGUCAGACCCCACGCCCCUCCGUCCCCACCUCUGAGCCAGCAGCCGCCACUGCUCCUUCUCUGUCCCCAUAACCCUGCCACUUACAUGGUCCUCGUUCCCCUCUCUGUCCCCAGGACCCAGCCCAGGGUCAGAGGCUCAGGCAUUUUGGAUCCAUCAAGCUCCCCAGCCCAGGAGAGACACCCCCCCCCAACCCAGAGCAAGACACCCUCUCCUCCUCCCACCUCCCACCCUGGGAGGGUGUCCCCAGCACUGGUCUCUGGAGGUAGGCCAUAGUUCUCUACACAGUUGCAAAUGCUUCUCCACCAACUUUUUAUCGCUCUGCCUCAGCCUCCUCCAUCCCCCGGUCCUGUGUCCAGCCCACUGCCUGCUGCCCACCUGCCCUGCUUUGGCUUGACUGGCGGCCCCAGGGUGUGACCCUGGCAGCCCGGGGACCUUCGGGAGAUCCGCCGUGCGGUGGCGGCUGCAGGCCACACAGCUGGGGUUAAGGGCAGCUUCGGAUCACGGAGGCUCCGUUUCCGAUUUUCCAGAAGAUGCCGAUUAUUAACCAUCAUUGUUCUUCCCUUCUGAGGCAUGAAAAAGCAGGUUCAACUCACAACCGGAAAAGGGACAGGUCAAGGUUCCCAGAGGAUGAAAUGUCAGCCUUCGGCGGCGGCAAUGCCAUUCCGCCGGAGGCGCUGAAAAUAGACGCAAAAACAGAAGCCUCAAGUCUCCGGAGGCCAGAGAAGGAGAGACAGAAAGAAAGUGAACUCGAGAAGGGCCAGCUUGGAAGGACUUUGCCCUUUUAAAUGUGACCUUGCCACAUGCAAAAUUCAGGAAGAAACUGAGGCUCAGAGACACAAAUGACUGACCCCCAGACCACACAGCUAAUGAAAUGGUGGAGUUAGGAUUUGAACCCAGGUCUGUCUGAGCCUGCGUAGUUAUUUCCCAUAAAUGUGCUGCCCCCCUAUGCCUCCCUGUUUUCAUCUACCAAUUAGGGAUAGUCACACAAUCCAAGAAACGGCAUCAUUCUGUGCUCUGUAACCAACAUGGCAGCCUCGUGUGACAUAUCUGUUCAUGGAUACUUGGCUGCGUCAAUGAAUGGAUAUGUGGAUGGAUAAUGGGACAGUCAGACAGAUAAAUGGAUAGACAGUUGGAUGAAUGAGUGCCAUGCUUGUGAGUGGGACGGAAAGAUGAAGGGAUGGAUGGAUGGAUGGAUGGAAGGAUGACCUAUGAGCAGAUAGACUGUUUCGUGGACCAGUAGGUAGAUAGGUAGAUGAAUAGAUGGGUGAUUGAAGGGGUGAUGGGUGACUGGAAGGAUGGAUGGAUGGAUGGAUGGGCCAACAGAUGGGUGAAUAGAUAGAUAAGUAUGCAAUGAAUGGACGGAUGAACCAACGGACAGACAGAUGGCUGCAUGGAGGAUUGGAUGAAGAACAGAAGAAGGCUGGAGGGAGAGAUGGCUUGGAAGUUAGAUGGGUGAGUGGAUGGGUGGGUCCCUUUCUGAUCUAACUCAAAUUGCACAGGAUACUCUUUCUCAAACACCCAAAGCCCAUCCCAAGCUGAGGUCCAGCUCUGCGGUCUGGGUGCUGCCUGGGGAUCGUCAGAGUCGCCUUAUGGAGCAGGUGUCCUCUCCGCUGUGCCAACAACCUUGUGGCAGGAGGAAGAUGAAUGGGGGCCUGUGCAGAGCCCUGGCCAAAGCACAGGGGCUGCUCUCUUCUCUCCUCCAACUGUGCCGUGUCCCGGCUCCAGAGUCACAGCUACCAGCAGAGCAGCCUCCCCGUCAUCGGCCCUCUCCCUCCACUGAGGCUGGGAGGCUGUGGGCAAACCAGCAGCCCCCCUCCCUCCCCACUAAAGAAGCUGGCGGGAGAGCCCUGGGCUGGAGACAGGAGGGCUGGGGACAUCUCCUUCCCUGACACUGGCCUGACAUGUUCCUAGAGGGCACUGCCCACCCAGGGGCCCUGCCACAGGUGGCGGAUCAGACAGAGCACAGCUACAGGCGGAUCCAGACAGAGGUGCUCCAGCCACAGGCCCUGGUGCUCCUCCUCAGAGCCCAGGGCCCUCCAGCCGCACUGACCGAGACCGUCUCCAGGGGUCCUUCCAGCCUCAGCAGACUGAGAUUCUGGCCACGAAAACCAAGCCGCCGCAGCCCACCAGGGAAACGCAGCUGGACAGAGAGAGGAUACCUCUUUGUCAGGACUCCUAACCUCCCCUGGCCACAUGUGUCCCCUUGGAUGUGCACUGGGCCAAGCUCUGCCCUCCCCGGGUACCACGUUCCCAUCCCUGCCCUGAGCCCAUUUGGGAAGCCAGCAUAGGUUAGGGACUGGGCCAUUUCCACAGGGCAGGAGUCUGGGAGGUCCUGGGCCCGGCAGGGAGGGGUCUGCAGAAGGAGCAGAGUGAGUAUGGAGCCGAGAGGUGCCACAUGUGCCCCAGAGUGGGAGUGAGGGGAAAGGGUGGUCAGUGAGAGCAGGAGGUCCCAGGCAGGCUGAGGGAACCAGGGUCCCUUCAGAGAAGCCCGUGGCCCCUGCUGCACGCUCCAUGACCUUUGCAGGAAGGAGGCUUAGGGCUGACCUCCUGCCAUGAUGUGGCCACCACUCAGGGCCACCACGGGGCCCCAGCUCGUUCCCCUUCCAUCUCCUAUCCGAGGGGCCAGGGACGGGCCUGGGGGGAGAGGGAGGGGCCCAAGGAAGUGGGGGCUCUCGGUUCCCAGCACACCCCAACUUGGUCACCUGUCCCCCAUGGAUCAGCCUUCAAUCCCGACCCCGGGGGGGCAGAGCACUGGCCCUGGAGCUUGUCAAUCUGUGGGGACAUGUGAAGCCAGAGCUGGAGUGUUCCCACACCGUGCCAGCCACCAAGGAGGGGCCCCGAGUGCAGGAUCCCCGCCUGUCACAGGCCUGGGCGCCAGCUCGCCCCUCCACAGUGUGUGUUCCCACUGCACCUCUCGGCAGACCAAGCCCACCCGAGACCCUCGAGAUGGCCCAGCCACAAAGCAUGCGGGGCUGUCUGCUGGGCUGCUCCUGGCUGGCCCUCCCUGGGAGUGUGGGGACUGGCUACCAGCCCACCCGGGCAGGGAGAGCGGGGCCUCUGCGGGCUGCGCUUCCAGAAAUUUCCAGGGUCACAUGAAGGCUGAGGUGGUAAAGCUGGGAACAGAAGGCAAGCCUGGUAGGAAUCCCUCCUGCCCUCUGCCCUCUCUGUGGCCAGCAGAGGGGGUCCACCCAAAACCAACAGCAUCCCCCCUUGUCCUGACGAGGGACUGAAAAUUCCCUGAGGGCGGUCUGAGGCUGCAGUUUUCAGACUCACUCUUUCCUGCCGGCCAAGAGAUGCAAAACAGACAUUUUCCAGGUGAAGAAACAGGCUCAGAGAAAUAAAGUGACUUGCCCAAGGUCACAGAGCACGGAAGGGGAAGAGCUGAGAUUCCAACCCAGAACUGUGUCUUGCAUUUAGUAGGUACCAAAUGAAUGAGUGAAUGAAUGAAUGAAUGAAUGAACACCACAAUGUGCAUGCUCUUAACCUCUCCUCUGUGCCCUCUCUGUCUGGCUGAUGGCCUGGUGGGGCCUGGCUCCUGCUAAAAUACCUCCAGCGACGGGGUGCUCAUCACUAGGCGGGUAUUGGCUCUCUUCGGGACCUCUGACCAGCGCGACAUUCCUCCCCAAGCCUCGCCCAUCACGGGUCCAGUUUCCACGCGCAGCUCACGCAGAGGAACCCCAUUCUCUCCCCCAGGGCAGCCUCCAGGGCCCUGAGGCAUGUCCUAAGUGCCCCCCGAGCACCCUGACCCCAGCCCUUGCCAAAUGCCCUUUGCACCCCUCCUGGUUCCCCUACUCUGGGCCCCAGGAUGUCCCAGAAGCAGCCAAAAGAACCACCAGGCCUGGAGUGUCCAGGGGCACCUGCAAGGACACAGGCCUGGAGCACCGGUGAGCCCCACAUGCGCACGUCUCAGAAUCGCACGGACUCCAGGACCAAAAGGACCUGUGUCCAGUCAAGGGGAUAAGAGCGAUCGGAGGGGCGUGUUCCACAGGUCGGAGAUGCAGAGACUGCGGCAUCGAGGGAGUUUCAGCCAGGAGGGGACCUGUGAGUAGAGACUCAGAGGAUGAGCAGAGCAGGAGGAGAGAAGGUACGGGGCGAAGGGGGCGGCAUUUAGGGGGCGCUGAGUAGACUCGACAGCUGCAGGGCAGGUGCGGGAGGAGGCGCAGAGGACAGGGAGCCCUGACCCUGGGGAGCUGGGUGGCCUGUUCUGUGCCACCCCAAGAGGUGCUGUUUGGGUGUAGAGAGUAAUACAGUCAGGGUGAUAUGAGCUACCUCGAGACACAGCCCAGGGCAGGGAGGGGGGUUGGACUAAUGUUUUCCAGAACCCAGAAUGGAGGACUCCCGUGCCCUGGCCCCAGGCACGCGUGGUCACUGUCUGUUGACUCAGCUGUCUUCCCACCACACUGAGCCUACCCCAGCAGAGCGGGUGCACCAUUAGACACUCCCACCAGCAGCCCAUGAGGUUCGGAUUUCUCAGCAUCCUCACCAACACUCGUUAUUGGCUGUUGUGGAUACCGAAAGGACACCCGUGAAAGGAAGCCAGGAGUGGGUCAUCUUGAAAGGGUCUUGCCCAAGAAGGAGAGAGAACCAUCAGAGGCGACAGGAGGCCCGACUUGGAGAGGCGCCCAGGGCUGAGGGCGUCACAGGUGCUCAGCUGGAGGGCACUACUGGGCCAGCAAUUCAUGCCAGGGGUCCCACCGAGGAAAGGCCCUGAGGUCUGGCGUCCGACACGGCCAAGUGGGGCCUGGCCGUUUCCUAUGAUGCUGCCGAGCCCGAGGAAGGACCCAGCGCCCCAGAGCGAGCAGGAGGAUGAAACGCACAAGAAAGGGGUCCACCCACACCAGCAACAUCUAGAGACCACCUGCCAAUCCCCGAGGUCUCCCCCACCCACCGCCCAGCUGUGGUCGAGCCAACUGGGGCAGGCUCAGACCCUCAUGGAGCCCCUGGGUCUGCAUCUGCUCAGACUGUGCCCAAGAUGCGUCCACUCAGGGACUUCUUCCUUGCUCCACCAUCCUCCCCGUUGGCCCCCAGUCAUUUCUGGCCACCUCGAGCUCUCAGCACCCAGCCUAAUCACCCCAGAUGCAGCCGCCCCUAAUCACUGCACCCAUCCGGGGUUCAGCCCCAUAGGACCUCCAGCCUGUCUUCCCGAGGAGAAGAAGGGCGUCUCCAGCCAGCAGAGAGGAGGGUAGGGUGCAGUGGCCGUGCGUCUCUCAGGCCUCACUGGACACUGGGCAGGCUGGUGGACCGCCCCUGACCUCUUUCAGCAGCCACCCCCAAGAAUGGAAAGUGGAGGAACGUCCUCAGCUGGCAAGGACCGGGGCAGAGGGAAUCCAGAGUUACUGGUGUGGCCACCUUGGGGCUGUGAUGGGCAGGAGGUGACCCAUGGUAGGCAGGGAGCAAGCAUUUUCCUGUGCUCUUCUCGGGGUUCUCCCCACGGCCCCAGGGCUGGGUCUCCCAUCGCACCCACUUUCAGGGUCCCAGUGGUCAUCUUCCUGAAAUUGUACAGUGAGAGAAGGGUUGAGUGGGAAAUCAGUGCUGGGGCCUUCUGGGGAGGCCAACGCCCAUGCUCGGCUCCCCUGUGCUGACAGGAGCAUCAUGACCUCACAGAAGCAGAGACACAAAGGCUCAUGUGGCCACCACUCGGCAUGUGCAGGGACCACGCUCAGGACUGAGACACAGAGGGGACACAGGCGUGGCGGCCUGCUUGCAGCUUGCACAGUGUCCUGGAGAAGACAUUAAUCAGACGGACCCACAAACACAUAUAUGAUGACAACCGUGACAGGACAGUGAAGAGGAAGUCAGGGGAGUCUGAGCCAGCGGGAGGCCAGGAGGGCACCCUGGAGGAAGCGACUGAGAGUGGAUGACGGGCAGGACUAGCCAGGUGGCUGACACUCCAGGGCAAGGAAGGAGGCCGUGCAGAGGCCCGGGGGCCCGAAGGAGGCAGGCCAGUUCUGGGAACUGGAAAAAAGUCACUGCAGCCGAACAGCAGGGGGCUUUAGAAGUUGUGAGCGUGGGCAGCUGGGGAGCCCCAUUCCUGGGACCGCAGCAGCUGAUGGGAAGAUGCCGGCCCAGGACACCCCGCCCCGGGAGCUGUGGGGUGAGAGGGGAGCCCUGGGGGAGCCCGGGAUCAGUGCAUCUGCAUAUGACCCAGCGCCAGCAGAACAAUGGCUGGAGGAAAGCAAGUGAAGUCCUCUCUCACAUAAGAAGCCUGGAUUCUCCCCUCCAAGAUUGGGGCCCCGCCUCCAUCUUUCUGCUCCCUCACUUUCCCGCGGCUUCCAUCAUCAAGGCGCCACUUGACGGGGUCCGGCCAUCACAUGUGGACUCCACAGCCACAGGAGGAAGAAGAGAUGGCAGUGAAGGGGGCUGCUGCCUCGCUCCCAGAUCCUCCUCAGAAAUCCCACACAGCCCUUCUGCUCAACGCAGUGCCAUGGCUGCACGUAGACGAAUUCCUGGGCUGUAGGCAGGUUCCCUCCCCACAGGGGUUGCGGAAACACGGGCCCUUCAUCUUUGGGAUCUUCCCUCCCCGAGGCCAGGCCUAGACUUGUCCUCCACCUUGCUCUCACGGAAGCGACCACAAGGCAUGCACUGGGUCGCUCAGUCUCUCCAUCUCUCUGUCGUUUUCGUUCUUGUCUUAUUUUACACCAGCAGAGAUACCGGUGUGGGUGAAGCAUUGCACUCUGUCCGUGGCCCGGGCUGUAAACCCUUCAUCACACGCUUGAGCUCAUUACACGUGCGCAGCGCUGACCAUGAGGUAAGAAAGAGGCUAGGACGUUGGAGGACACGAAGGGAAUGAGAAAUGACUUUGACCUACAGGGCUGGAUGUCUCAUCAGGACAGGCACAAAUUUUGGUAGUUAGAAAGUGGAAUUGGCGCAAGAAAUAUUCAGAUAAGUUAUUGAGAUUAUUCUGGCGAUGAAAGGGAUCAAGCAGGGUGCCUUCAGCUUCAUGUCACAGAAUUUCUGGCCCAAAGUGGCUUCAAUGCACAUGGUUAUAAUCUCACCGGCAAGGAGUCCAGAGGCAGGGGGAUGCAGGGCUCAUGAGGACAUCCUGCCAGCAGGGGCAGCCUUGGCACUGCCUCCUGUGGGGUUCUCUUCACCUCUUUCCUCAGGGUCUCACUGUGGCUGCUGCCGCUGCCAACAUCACGUACUCACCCUACCAGGUCAAAGGCACAGAGCGACCACUGAUUCCGACCAUCAACCUUUCUUAGCGAGGCAGGAGAUAAAACUUUCCCAAACACGGCCUGCCUCCUACAGAGCCGUCCCCCAGGCCCUAUUGGCCAGAACUCGGUCAAACGCCCUCCUUGCCACCAACCAAUCCUGGCAAAGCGGAAGGGGAGGACCAUGACCGAUUUCCUCCCGUCGUGAUUCAUUCCCCAGGAAUGGGCCACUUUCUCCGAGCCCAUUGCAUCCGGAAACCAGAACAAUUUACAUUUUAUUUUUUAGCAUUACCAUUAGUCAGCACAGAAGAAAGAAAUGACUCCUGGGGAAAACGUCAACGAUGUUUGUGACAGGAGGCACAGAGGUCAAGGACCCCAAGUCCAGGUAUAGAAAGGAUUGUCAGUGCGGAUGUAGAAGUCACCGAAAAUGAUGAUAGGGCUGUCGUGGUGCCAGCAGCCAGCAGGGCUAAAGUCUUCAGUGAGGACCACAGGGAUGGGGAAGGGGCAGACCGCUGCAUAGGGGCGUGAUGGGCGCUGUCCAGAAAUGGUACUUCUCCAUUCUCAGACGGGCAGCCUACCACCCCCACUGACCAGGACCCUCAACUGAGGACCCUUCCUCUUCCUGGAGUCUCCCCUCUCCUCUGUCCUUGCCCCAGGCCGCCUGCAGCUCGCCCACCCUGCGCGCCAACUCCCUUUCCCGGAGUUCCUGUCCUCAGAACCGGCUGUCAGAUGGGAGAAGCCGUGGCUGCAAAGGGACCAGUUGCAGUGUCAGGAUCCCAGUGGGCUUAGGGUCGCCAUGGAAACCCCUGGGCAGAGCUCCAGGGAUGGGCGGGGCCCCAGAGAGGACCCACACCCUGUGCACAACAGCCCGCCCCCUGCCGACUCUCAGAUCCCACCCCUCGUGCGUCCUGGGAGCAUGGGGUCUGGCUGCCCCACCUGCUCGAGUCACUGCCCUCACCCCUAGUUGCUCCGCCUGUGAAAGGAAGGCUCUGCGAUCCUGGAGAUGGCCAGAGCACGCCUCGUCUGCCCCUGGGGGAUGAGGGCUGACCCCUGGGCGGUGACGCCAGCAGCACCAGGGUGAAAGCCAGGGGCAUGGCUGUGACGUCACAGGAGGCGUUGUGACGCGGGCAGUAAUAAAACCAGGGCCUUGCCGUGCCCUCAGUGAUGGGGCAGGUGGCCUUUCCGCCCCAGCUCCGCCCAGGACAACAGUGCGCUCCCCGCCUGGCCUCUCCCCAACACCCUGCGCCCCAGCGUCGUGUCCGCAUCCACCUUGGCGCCCCUCUGCUCUCCUGCACACAUAUCCGGAGCCUCGUGGACCCACGCCCCAUGGGGCUGCUCACCUACGCUGCCCAUUCAGCCCAUCGGGUGCUGGGAAUCAGAGUUCGACGGACCCUCACUCAGCUGGGAAGGGCCCCUGGCAGACCUCCGGCAUCGAAUCCCGGUGCAGCACAGGGUGGCCGAGUGUCCCCGGACACCUGGCUGAAUGAGGCUCGUCUGAUCCAGCUCAGCACAGGGCGAGUGAGUCCCUCACACACAGCCGGCCAGGAGCCUCCCCUGCAACUCAGCAAAGGUCAGCCGCUCGUGCCGCUGCCGGUGCUCCAGGAUCCCUGUCCCACCAGUGGCACGCUGGGUCCAGCCCCAGGGUCUCCCCGAAUCCUCGCCUGCCUGUGGCGGUCAGCAUCUCUGCCAGGCCCAGGUGAGCUGGCUGGAAGAGAUUGUUUCCUAGUAGAAGAAAACUGCUUCAUUCCAGUUAUCGUGCGCCCUGCCGCUGCCCUGCACCCAGAGACUCUGAGGCCAGAAGUUGCAGAGAGAGAACAGUGGACUCAGAAACUUGCCAUCACUUCCCAGUCCUGUGUCUGGCUCCCAGGUGGUGCCCCAACCUCCAGAAAGGGAAGGACCAGUCCCAUCGUCCCCUCCCGCCUCCCCCCGACCCCCAUUCAAUCAAUCUGUAAAGCAGAUGGAAGGCCAGGAAGUGGGGCAAGAAGAACAGGCUGAACACAAAAAAGCAGGGCAUCUUGACCCAGACAAGAGACAUCCGAGGCCACCGGUCCAGGUGGAAACCCAUCUUCCAGGGGAGGGCCGGGUCGGCGCUAUCUGUGAAGGCGGGGAUGGCUGCCUUGGCCAGAGGUUGGCUCCGAAAUGUCGGAGGUCUGUGGGUGGGCACCGAGGCCUGGCCUGUGCUUGGAGCCCUUCAGAGCACCAUGCUUCUGAUGGCUCACUGCGCCCAGGUGCUCGUGGGGCCCGUGGCCUGAAGACCUUUGACCUGGGACCGACUUCAGCCUGAUGUCCUGGUGGCAUAUGACUUGGGGAGCCACCUCCUUCUGGGGAGUUCUCUUGCUCAGAGGGAGCAAUUUGCCAGGCAUCCGCUUUCUUGCCAACCUUGGACGCCACAAUUUUUUCUUUUAACCAGCUCUUCUAACAGGUGGGUAGUAACACCUCAUUUGGGUUUUCACUGGCAUUUCCCUAAUGGCUGGUGACGUGGAACAUUUUUUCACGUGCCUAUUUGCCAUCCAUGUAUUCUCUUUGGAGAAAUGUCUAUUCGUGUCUUUUGUCCAUUUUCUACUUGGAUAAUUUGUUUUUCUACUGUUUGGUUCUGAGAGUUUUUUUAUAUAUUCUAGACGCAAGUUCUUUGUCAGAUAUGUGGCUUGCAGACAUGUUCUCCUGGUGUGUAGCUUGUCUUUUCAUCCUCCUAACAGAAUUUUUAAUAGAGCAAAAGUUUUUAAGUUUGAUGAAGUUCAAUUUAUCAAGUACUUUGUUAUAUGGCUCAUGUUUUUAGGGUCACGUCUAAGAACUCUUCACCAAGCCCAAGCUCCUGAAGAUUUUCUCCCGUGCUUCCCUCUGGAGGUUUUAUGAGUUUACCUUUUACUUUUAAAUCUGUGCUGUGAUCAGUUGAGUUCAUUUUUGUAUAAGGAGUGAAGUUAGGUCAAAGUAUUUUUGUUUGUUUGUUUUGGUUUUUUGGCCUGUGGAUGUCCAAAUGCUCUGGCAGCAUCCUUUGGUGAGAAAUUAUUCUUGUGGUUUCUGUUAGUUUUUUGAGCAUAAAACAGCUGAAUUCCCGUCUUUCUGCUAAGUCCAGCAUCUGGGCUUCCUUGGGGAUAGUUUCCAUUGAUUGCUUUUUUUUUUUUUUUACCUUCCUAUAGGCCAUAUUUCAUAUUUUUUUGUAUGUCUCGUAAGUUUUGGUUGAAAUUAUAUUUUGCAUAGUAUGUUUCUAUUAUAUUUUAAAUAAUAUAAUGUGGAAACGCAGGAAAUCAGAUCCUCCCCUCUUCCUGGCUUUUAUGUUGUUGCUGUUCAUUGCUAUCGUCAUUGUUCAUUUGUUUAGUGACUUUUCUGAACCAAUUCUGUAUGUUUUGUCAUGCGUGGUCAGUGACGUCUCUGCUCAGUUAGCUCCAUAGUCAGCUAAUGACUACAAAGAGAUUUCUUUAAUUCCUUGACAUAAGUCUCCCAAGUCUUUGCCAAGGGGGUCAGUCUGCCUUGGUCAGGCCGUUUACAGCUCUGCCUUAUCCUUCCCUUCCACGUGUGCAGACCCUGAAAGUGAGUCCAAGGUGAGAGCUUACAGUCUUAUCAAGACUCUCCUGAGAGAGCGCACAGCCCUGUGCACGCACAUCACCUUCUAGAGGCCCAGGAGCCUGGUGGAGCUUUUCAAAUCACCCUGGGGACACCUCAUUCUUCAAAUUUACCUUUCUGGUAAAUCUGAAGCUUUUCAGUUAGCCUUUUAUUUGCCCCCACUGUUAUCCAGGGCCUCAGGUAGCCGAGAUGUUCGACAGUUGCCUCUCAUUGUUUUUAACAAACAUUCUAGGGGGAAAAGGCCAUUCGCACUUGGCAAGGUCCAAGUGAGGUCAGAUAAAGACCACCUUGAGAAUGGGAUCUUCCAGGGAACCAGCAGAAGGGUCCAAUAGGGCCAAUUCUCUGGAAAUGGGGCUUUGAAGGAGCUCCAACCCUGCUCGGCCCCCUCCCAUGGCUCCCAGGCUGCUGGUUUUCACCAUCAUCACAGGCUGUUUGUUUUCAAGACCACUGUGGAGCAGGAGGGGGUGGGCGAGGCAUGCUGUAGGACUAGAGUAAGUUACAGCAUCAUAAGGCUCACCUUUCUUAUGAAGAUUCAGCGUUUUUUGUUUUUUUUUUUUGGAACAAACACUCCCUGGGUUGUUAUAAGCCUUCAGUUCCUUUCCAGAGUUCUGAAUAAGUUGAUUCUGACCAUUUUUGCCAGUGUCCCCAUUGCGUUUAUGGGGGAGAGAAUUUUCCCAGGUCCUUACUCCACCAUUUUCACGGACGUCAAUCUAUUUUAUUUAAAUUUAAUUAAUUUAAAUUUUAAUAGCCACACGGGACUAAUAGCUACCCUAAUGGAUAGCACAAGUCUAUAAAAUAUGAUAUGAAGUCAAUUAGUCCAUUGGAACUCAACUCCACCCUUAUGGGUACACACAAAUAUAGGAAACACAAUCACAAAAACAAAAUGAACAAGUUGUGUUAAAUGAGACUCAAAAUUUUGUAAGUUUUAGAAAACCUUUCCAAAUGUUUCAGAAAUGUAACGAGGAAUAUAGACAUCUUUCCCUAUAUAUGUAUGAUGUGAAAUGGGGCCUUCGAAGGGCUCCCGCGUCCUGAUACAGCACUGCUGCCAAGUGAUCCAUAGAGAUUAUGAAGCCGGGAACCUGAGGGUUACUGUAGAUACUCAGUAAGAACAGAAUUGCCCUUUGAUCUUGUUCCAGCACAGACGUAGCUGAGUCUUGUCAAUUUGCUGUCUUCCUGUUUAACUUGAGGGUGACUCAGGGGUCUUGAAGAUUUGUGAGUUUCUUUUGCAGAAGAAAGAGAAUGCCUUUGGGGAGGUUGCCGUCACUGGAUGGCCAGCCCCCAUCAGCCCCGUCAGCCCAGAAGUCACAUUGCCCAGGGGCUUAGCCAGAGUGACCCCUAUGUUUCCCGGAAGCUCUUCCCACCAAGCCCCUUAGCUCUAUAAACCCCCCUGCUUUCUGCUGUUGGGGAGGCGGAUUUGAGCGAGCCCAGGCUCCCGCCUACUCAUGUUGGCCAACUCGCAUAAACCUUUCUCCAUCUUCAAGCACCGAUGUCUCAGUGUUUGGCUUGCUGGGCAUGGGGCGCAUGAACUUGAGAUUAAGAGGUUUGUUAUGAAUUAUUUUUAAGAUAGAGUCUAAACCAUUUUACACACAGUCAUGCGCUGCAUCACGAUGUUUCCAUUAACAAUAGACUGCAUGUAGGAUGGCGGUCCCGUAAGAUUAGUACCAGACAGCCUAGGUGUGUCGUAGGCUCUACCAUCUCAGUUCGUGUAAGUGCCCUCUGUGAUGGUCACAUGAUGAAAUCACCUAAUGACUCAUUUCUAAGAAUGUAUCCUUGUCCUUAAGCGACUCAUGACUGUGUUUAGUUAUUUAGCCAAUUUGCAGCUUUCUAAGCCAAAGGUAAUAUAAACACAAUGACGGUAACAAUAAUUGCAUUUAUUGAGGAACCACUUUGCACUUUGCUUGACAAGUCUGAUCCUUUCAUCUUCCCAAGGGCCCAGUGAGGUCAAGGGUCAUUAUCUCCACUUUGAAGAUCAGACGUGAAGGGAUGAGGCAGCUCGCCUGAGGCCACACAACAGUGUCUGCAGGGUUGGCGCUGGCACCCAAGGCGUGCCCGGACCCAUCCUCUUACCUUGUAAGGAGAUGCGCCACAUUCUGUGUCGUUUGUGCUUCUCCGGCGGUGUUCCACAUGGAUUCAUUUUAAGGUCACUUUGUUCCUUUGGGCACAGCUCCCUUUUCCUUCUGAGACCACACCCAAGGGGCAGGGAGCUGGCGGGCCAGAGAGCAGCCGUUGUGACUCUCCAAGUGCACUCACAUCUGUCUCCUGAAAAUGCGGACAGAGUCGGGGAUCCACAGGAUGGCUCCCACACCUUGCGUUUCCCCAGCUUAGAAAACACGCUUCUCCCGACCCCGUAACUCUGCAAGUAGGUUUGACGGGGACUUUCCCAGUUUGGGCAAAAGUCCCACGUCCCAGGAGACCUCUCAUUCGCAGGCAGACAUGACAGGCCCCCUACCUGUAAGUGACGGGAAAGAGCAGACGACACCCUGGGUUCAACAGGGGGGAGAGAAGCAGCGGUCUCCACUAGGUUGUCCCAUUUUGACCCCUUUUUUUGAUAAGGAAAAAUUCUUUUUUUGGUCAAGAGAAAUACAUCCCUUUGAUCUGGUGGGGCUUGACCAAGAACUUCAGGGUCUUGUCAGAACAGUGGCUGUGACCAGCCUCUCGAAAGGAGGGUCUUUCUAUGUCCCUGCGAGAGAACAGCACAUGCCAUGCGCUUUCCUUCUGGACAAAAUCAGCAUUGCUCGUGUAUGACUCGAGGUCCCACCUACCAGGUGUAGACACCCCAGGUGUAGACAGGCAUCCAUUUCAGUCUGGGAGUGUCCCCACUUAGGGUGGAAUCUGAUAGCUAAAAUCCGCCUCGCACUUGGGUGUUUAUACGCGAAUCGUCGGGGUGGCUCCCUCGGGUGUUUGUACAGAAAGCUAAGUGUCAGCGUUAAAAGAAAAAAGAUAAAAACUCAAGUCACCAACCAUCUUAAUGUCUGGCCUUACGUUGACAAAGCCUGGGGAUGUUUCUCCUGCAAUCCCCAGGGCUCUCCUCUCCCUCUUCAUCUAACCCCUGUAUCUCUUUUAGACCCCAGUGUAAGCUUCGCUUCUUCCGAGCAGGCUCCCCAGACGUGCCAUUGCUCACCCCGCACGCUCACACGGCACCGGGCACUCCCCUUUUACAGCGUCUUCACACUGUCUUGCAAUUACUUGCUCAGGUGUCCUGACAUCUUCCCGGGGACAAGGGCUGUGUCUGCCUUGUUCCCAGCUCAGCUGCCAGCAGCUGGCACACAGAGUCCUGCACAUGGAGAAUGCACAUUAAAUAGCUCUGAAAUGAA
This is a non-coding RNA of Equus caballus (horse), 17494 nucleotides long. NCBI's taxonomy places the organism in Eukaryota, Metazoa, Chordata, Mammalia, Perissodactyla, Equidae. The record is from RefSeq and is a predicted model, not a curated record.